Molecule: ribosomal RNA, 371 nt
Filed under: uncultured bacterium
Lineage: Bacteria
Description: bacterial SSU rRNA
Rfam family: Bacterial small subunit ribosomal RNA
Source: RNAcentral
UAACGUAGCGAAAGUUGCGCUAAUACCGCAUAUUCUGUGAGCAGGAAAGCAGGGGACCGCAAGGCCUUGCGCUCUUUGAGCGGCCGAUAUCAGAUUAGCUAGUUGGUGAGGUAACGGCUUACCAAGGCGACGAUCUGUAGCGGGGUCUGAGAGGAUGAUCCGCCACACUGGAACUGAGACACGGUCCAGACUCCUACGGGAGGCAGCAGUGGGGAAUUUUGGACAAUGGGCGCAAGCCUGAUCCAGCCAUGCCGCGUGAGUGAAGAAGGCCUUUCGGGUUGUAAAAGCUCUUUCGGCCGGGAAGAAAUCGCAUGGGUUAAUACCCUGUGUGGAUGACGGUACCGGAAUAAGAAGCACCGGCUAACUACGUG